Molecule: small nuclear RNA, 108 nt
Organism: Sciurus vulgaris (Eurasian red squirrel)
Lineage: Eukaryota; Metazoa; Chordata; Mammalia; Rodentia; Sciuridae
Source: Ensembl
AUGCUCAAUUCAGCAGCACGUAUAUUAAAAUUGGAACACUACAAAGAAGAUUAGAGUGGCCCCUGUGGCAAGGAUGACAGGUAACUUUGUGACAUGUUCCAUCUUUUU